AAUAUGUACAUAUGAAACAUGUACACGUUCAAAGGUUAGGUUUAGUCGUUUAACAAAAACAUCAGAUUUGACAGAUAUUCUAGCUAGCUGUCUG
Molecule: long non-coding RNA, 94 nt
Organism: Etheostoma spectabile (orangethroat darter)
Lineage: Eukaryota; Metazoa; Chordata; Actinopteri; Perciformes; Percidae
Exons: 3
Source: RefSeq, a predicted model, not a curated record